Long non-coding RNA from Oncorhynchus masou masou (cherry salmon), 440 nucleotides. RefSeq lists it as uncharacterized. NCBI's taxonomy places the organism in Eukaryota, Metazoa, Chordata, Actinopteri, Salmoniformes, Salmonidae. The record is from RefSeq and is a predicted model, not a curated record. The transcript is spliced from 3 exons.
CGCCAGCGCAUUUCUGGACAUUGCCACCAACUUCUGCAACAUUGUUUCUCAUUCCAGCCCGAGACCCAACUGUUCAAGUAAACUACAUAGACUUUGCAACCGAUGCUAGGAAGAUAACCACAGAGAGCUAUAGGAGAGAGGGGAGAGAGAGAACUUUACUUGAAGGAAAUGGACACAUUCCAACAUUCCAGCUGUAUUGGGUGCGGAUGACUGAACUGCUCACUUCUGUGUCUGCAGACUUCACCCUCCCUACACCUCUGAUGAAUAUAACAGGAAACCUGUUCAAUCACCAUGCACUGCAAAAUCAUUCUGGCUAUGCAUACGGAGAACAUCAACACAUUAACAUCAACAGGCCAGAGGAUAUACCCAUUGGACUUGGGGCUCUGAUGGGAGUUUACCUCGAAUUUACAUGUUUUAUUCUGUUUGCCACUAAAAUCAUA